CUUGCUCCCCGAAAGAAAAGGAGUGGCGAACGGGUGAGUAACACGUGGGUAACCUGCCCAUCAGAAGGGGAUAACACUUGGAAACAGGUGCUAAUACCGUAUAACAAUCGAAACCGCAUGGUUUCGGUUUGAAAGGCGCUUUUGCGUCACUGAUGGAUGGACCCGCGGUGCAUUAGCUAGUUGGUGAGGUAACGGCUCACCAAGGCAACGAUGCAUAGCCGACCUGAGAGGGUGAUCGGCCACAUUGGGACUGAGACACGGCCCAAACUCCUACGGGAGGCAGCAGUAGGGAAUCUUCGGCAAUGGACGCAAGUCUGACCGAGCAACGCCGCGUGAGUGAAGAAGGUUUUCGGAUCGUAAAACUCUGUUGUUAGAGAAGAACAAGGAUGAGAGUAGAAUGUUCAUCCCUUGACGGUAUCUAACCAGAAAGCCACGGCUAACUACGUGCCAGCAGCCGCGGUAAUACGUAGGUGGCAAGCGUUGUCCGGAUUUAUUGGGCGUAAAGCGAGCGCAGGCGGUUUCUUAAGUCUGAUGUGAAAGCCCCCGGCUCAACCGGGGAGGGUCAUUGGAAACUGGGAAACUUGAGUG
Molecule: ribosomal RNA, 588 nt
Filed under: Enterococcus sp. HGB0102
Lineage: Bacteria; Bacillati; Bacillota; Bacilli; Lactobacillales; Enterococcaceae
Description: bacterial SSU rRNA
Rfam family: Bacterial small subunit ribosomal RNA
Source: RNAcentral